This is a long non-coding RNA of Drosophila bipectinata, 184 nucleotides long. RefSeq lists it as uncharacterized. NCBI's taxonomy places the organism in Eukaryota, Metazoa, Arthropoda, Insecta, Diptera, Drosophilidae. The record is from RefSeq and is a predicted model, not a curated record.
CCAUCGAUGUUUUCACUAACAAUUCUGUGCUCGGUGCGAACAUAUUGAUUUCUAGUUGAUGGUGUUGGUGGACGUUGAUGGAUGACGAAGGCACGAUGGAGAAUUACCUUAAAAGAGCGGAACCGACAGAGGAAGUGGAGACGGAGUCAGGACAAAAACGUAAAAGGGAGCGAUCGGUGGUUUG